This 222-nucleotide unclassified non-coding RNA is filed under the name uncultured fungus. Its description in RNAcentral is "sequence contains ITS2". Lineage: Eukaryota; Fungi. The record is from RNAcentral.
UGCCUCUUCACCGGAGCCGCUGUGGCUUGUUCACUUUGGCUUGCAGGUGGCGGUGGGAUCGUUGGCCCUUUGGCGUCGACCUUCCUUAAAUCGAUCAGCGAUGCCCGGUCCCGAAACCUUUGGUAUAACGUGGGUGUUAACUUUUACUGCCUGCGCCACUGGUCGAGGGGCUCUCGGAGCUUUUCGCUUUCCAAACGUCCUUUGCAGGACAACACACUCUUG